This 331-nucleotide ribosomal RNA is filed under the name uncultured eukaryote. Its description in RNAcentral is "partial 18S ribosomal RNA". It matches the Rfam family "Eukaryotic small subunit ribosomal RNA", at positions 1470 to 1796 of the family's 1831-position model. The record is from RNAcentral.
CCCUUAGAUGUUCGGGGCCGCACGUGCGCUACACUGACGUUAUCAAUGAGUUUAUUCCUAAGCCGAAAGGUUUGGGAAAUCUUAUGAAUUAACGUCAUGUCAGGGAUUGGGGCUUGUAAUUAUUCCCCAUGAACGAGGAAUACCCAGUAAGCGCAAGUCAUAAGCUUGCGUUGAUUACGUCCCUGCCCUUUGUACACACCGCCCGUCGCUACUACCGAUUGGAUGACUUAGUGAGGCUUUUGGAUCGGAAUCAGUUGAUUGACAUUGUCAAGCUGUUGAGGCCAAAAAAAUCGUCAAACUUGGCCAUCUAGAGGAAGUAAAAGUCGUAACA